GUGGGAGCGUGUGGCGGCGGCUGGGGCAUGCGGGGCGCCCGCCGUCCCCCGGCGCCGCGGAGCAGACCGGGCCGCUCGCCAUGGCCUUGGACCUGGACGAGCGGCUGCGGCAGAGCAACGCCCGCUUCGUCGCCUCCAUCCAACGCAUCUUGGAUCGGUAUAAUCAUCCUUUUGAAGAUGAUUUACUUGUUUCCAUGGAAACUCUCACUUACGAUACACCUGAUGGAAUAAAACAAUGGGGGCAAGUGUCAACCAAGAAGAUAAAUAACUGGAAGAAGGAAUUAUUUAAGUGGAAUAGAGGAAGCCAAAGGAAUGCAGAAAUCUCAAAGGAACAGACCAGUGAUUUUGAAGACGAACAUCCAACAGUAUGUCAGGAAUUUCCUGAGAACUCCCAUGUGGAUACAUCUGACAUAGGUGAAGAAAGUGAUGCCGAUAUAGUUUCAGUAAGAAGAAAAUUUGAAGACAUUCACUUCCAGAAUCCGAAUGCAGAUGAUGGGAAAAAUCAAGAGAAAGUAAAAGUUCAAGUGGAUGUGAUAGUACAAGACAAUGCUAGAAAUAUUCCCAAGUGGAUUGCGAUAGCACCUCAACGCUCAUCAGAAGGUCUUCAUUUAGCUUCACCAGUGCAAGAACUGAUCGGCAACCAAGCUGCCAUUAACGGAAAUAAUGUAGAGUUUUCAAAUGAAUGUUCUUCCAGAUCUCUAUGGUUACAGUUUUCUAGUGUUCCCGUUUCACCAAAUACAGUAACCAUACCCAGGCAUCUGCCUUCUCCAGAACUGAAUAAAAGUUGCUGGGAUAGUGUCUUGGAGGAGUACCAGUCUGCAGACGAGGAAUGCUCCUGGAGCAAUGUAACUCUUGCAGACUUGUAUCCAGCGAUGGUAAAGAUACUUACAAGGCUUAUGACAAAGCAGUCUCGGAGAAAAGAGUUAAAAUAUGUGUUUGGAUGCUUAAGGCACAAAAGAUGGCAUUCUAGAAGACCAAAGCUCAAUGUCACUGUAGACAAAAUAAGAGGGUUCAGACCUCUUAAUCUGAAGCAAGCACAAUCCAACAUAUGUAGCAAUAGAAGUGAAGACAUCCAGAAUGAAACUUUUGGAAAUGAGAACAGAGAACUCUGUGAUGACGAGUGUUCCAAUAACAAUUUAUCAGGUCUGGUACCUUAUUCUUGCAUUGAUACAAAUGAAAUCAAAGCAGACUACUCUGACUCAAGUUCAAAACACCAUUUGGCAUCUGGAAAAGGCCAGAGAGUUUCCAAACAGACCCAUUUUCCUAAUGUUAUGGCUAGAAUGGGAGAGACCUUUCUAGUUGAAGAUGAGUUACAGACUACUGUCUUGCUGAAGAAUUCAAAAUGCAAAGAAGGUGAAAAAUUAGCUUACAAAUCAGAACAUUGUUUUAUAACAUCUACUGCCAGUUCAGGGUCAACAGCACUUCACCUGGUAAAAGAAAGUAAAACUCAAAAAACUAACUUUCCUUAUGGUAAUACCUUAGGGCUGUGUUCGUCUGCUUGCAGUUCCUAUGGCAACAGUAACACUUUUGCACCAGUCACAAACUGUUCCCUUGCAAGAGCAUCAAAUACUUUGCUAGUAAAUCCUGAAAACCGAACUUCUGAAAGACUAACUUCUUUCCAGCGCAAGCUCUCGUUUUCCUCACUGCCUAUGGAGCAGAGUACUUCAAACGUGCCCCAGAAAUAUGAAGACGCAUUUGAAAAACUCUACUACAAACUGUGUUCCAAAGAAAUCCAAAAGCCUUUGACAUCGACAAGACCUCUUUCAAAUUCACAAAACCUUGAAGAGAAAGGAAGAUUAGUGAAGAGUAAUUUAAGUAAUUCUGUGAGCUUUGAUACGCAUUAUGAUAGAGAAUUUGACAGGAUCUAUGAGCAGUUGUGUAGGGAGCCUGUUCCAAAAGUUCCUGGGUUUCAGAGAGCUUCAAAUUUAAGGAAAUAUGAAGGAAUACAGAUGUCUGAAACUGUAAAUGCUCUUGUAAACUCACCUGUUCGAACUUUAUUUGCAAUUCCCAGAGUUAAAAGACUAGGAAAUUUUCAAAAUGAUCUUCUUUGUUCACCAGUAAAGCGACUGAAAAAUAUCCCAGAACAUUAUUCUCCUUCAGCAAAAUGUCAACAAGUUUCUCACAGAAACGUCAAUCUUCAGACAGUUGGCAUGGAUUUUUUGAACACAUACAAUGACAAUAGCCCCAGGUUUUUUGACAGUCACAACUGUCAGAGUCAGGACUCUGGCUUUCAUGACUCUUCAGAUAAAAUCACUCUUAGUAUUCCUGGAACUUCCCUGCAAGAAUCUGGGAUUGCAGAUGUCCACUCUGGUUGGCGUGGGGCAAUGAAGAAUUGCAACUAUCCCAGAAAAGCCUCGAAGUGUCACCAAAGGUAUGGAGGUUGUAGCUUACACGCAUACUUCUAGAAUGAAAAUCAGCAUGGAUGCUUGGGAGAGCCCAAGCUAAUCAAACGUGGAUUGAAUUUGAACACUGGAAGGGUAUACAGAAAACUAAGCUACACUGAUGGCAAAGACCAAAAUCCUAGCAAUCCCUUGGGCGACUGCCUGGUCAAAACUCACCAAGGAGCAUUCAUGGACUGCUGCAGAGAAAACGUGUUAUAAAGUUUGGUUUGUUUUGGUUAUCUUUCUUCCUCCAAGAAUCAAGGCCGUGUUAUACAUAUAUUUAAUCCCAGUUUAUUUCCCUGUAAUAAAAUCUUCAGGAACUGGUUUAUCUGUUCUGACGGGGUACUGCUUACUCCUUUGGCUUCAUCAGGUAUUGCAGGGAAUCAGGGUUCCUUUCUAUAGCUAAGUUUAAAUUAUGUAUUUACUAGUGCUUAUAAUAACAGAAUAUGAUCUAUAUUAUCUUUUAUCUGCUAAUUAGCUUUGAUUCUUAACAUAUUGUUAACAAGCCCUUUCUGCCGAACUCCUGCCUAUUCCUGCUUUAUAGAUGCGUCAGUACUAAAUAGAUGAAAACAUCUAAACUGGGCUUGGAUGAUCCAAAUGCAGUAUUAUAUUCUGUGAUUUAUAAUAUUCCUGCUAUGUAAUUUUAAUGUUACAUUUUCUAAGUAACUCACCAGAGUUGAUUCUUAAAUAAAAUUUUAUCUUUUUUUAGUGGA
Strigops habroptila (Kakapo) is the source of this 3094-nucleotide RNA transcript. It is a transcript of the gene named Holliday junction recognition protein, with no coding region annotated. The transcript has 14 exons. Lineage: Eukaryota; Metazoa; Chordata; Aves; Psittaciformes; Psittacidae. The record is from RefSeq and is a predicted model, not a curated record.